GGAGUUGUAGCUCAGGAGCAGAGCACUUACCUGUCAGGCAUGAGGACCUGGGCUCAAUCCCCAGCACUGCCA
This 72-nucleotide transfer RNA is filed under the name Ictidomys tridecemlineatus (thirteen-lined ground squirrel). RNAcentral's name for it is "Spermophilus tridecemlineatus (thirteen-lined ground squirrel) tRNA". It matches the Rfam family "tRNA". From Rfam's summary of the family: Transfer RNA (tRNA) molecules are approximately 80 nucleotides in length. Their secondary structure includes four short double-helical elements and three loops (D, anti-codon, and T loops). Lineage: Eukaryota; Metazoa; Chordata; Mammalia; Rodentia; Sciuridae. The record is from Rfam by way of RNAcentral.